AGAAAGAGAGAGAGAGAGAGAGAUUAGAUUUUGCAUAAAUGUCGCAAUGGUGGCGUUAGAGUACGGUCACCGCCACAAAUCGGAACAAGCAAAGAAGUAAAUUAACGCCCCACGCACACAUCUGUCACUGCCGUAACGCGAAGAUCGGGUGCCGCUACUUCGCCUCCUCUCCGCCCAUAAUUCUCCUCCUUGUUCGACCCAACUCCAAAAACAAAAACUUUUCAUAAAGAGAGACAGACCCCGAUCCCCCACUGCGGUUUCUCCUUAUUUAUUAUCUAUCUCUGCCAGGUAUGCUUCUCCAUCUCUCCUUUUUAUGGCUCUCCUGAUUCCCAUUUUCUCUCUCAUGCUUUUUUCUUGUAUAAGAUCGUGUAAAAUUUGGGUAUUUUCAUCCAUCCUUAUCCAAAUCCGUUUUAUAGGGUUUGCAUUUUUAGUGGGUUGAUCGGCGAUUUAUUUUUUGAUUUUUCAUUUUCCUUGCAGAACUACUGAUAUUUUGCUUGUCAAAUUUUUAUUAUUAUUUUUUUAAUCUAAGACUAGGGUACGUCUAAAAUUUAUUUACAUCAAUAUUUAAAAAGUUUUGAUUUUUGGCAUUUGGUUGCGUGCCCUUUGGAAUUGUUUAGCUGCUACUCAUGGUGCGUGGUUUGAAAAAAUUUUGGUGUAUUUUGAUUUACACUUAUAAUGACACAAGCAUUAUCUCUAGUUAUUUCACUUCAAACUGCUACUCAAAAAUGGGAAAUUUAAGCUUAAAAAUGGCUUUAAGCUUUCUCAUUUUAAAUACAACAUGCCACUCUUGCAGGUGCUGUGAGUUGCUUUUUAGGAUUGGGUAGGUGUGUGAUUAUGGCUUAUUUCAUUGCAAUAAGCUGUUAAGAACAUUUUCAUUGCGAAUGUUUUGUCAGGUCGUAAUAGGUUGCGUAGAACAUUUUCUAUUGGGAACGCCUAGUUGCUGAAAUAAUUAUGUUGUAGCUUCAUACUUCUGAAAAUAUUUGAAACUUAAAUAAGACGUUAUUUUGUGACUCUGUAUUCUGAUUCUCGAGUUGAGAAGAAAAAUACAUUUUUUUGAUAUUGAAGGCAUGGUUUUAAAUCCCGAUCACAGUUACGGUCUUAAUGUCGUGGUAACAGUUUGGGGCUACCUAAUUUUAUUUUA
RNAcentral lists this unclassified non-coding RNA (1141 nucleotides) under Hevea brasiliensis (rubber tree). Lineage: Eukaryota; Viridiplantae; Streptophyta; Magnoliopsida; Malpighiales; Euphorbiaceae. The record is from RNAcentral.